Molecule: long non-coding RNA, 2625 nt
Organism: Pezoporus flaviventris
Lineage: Eukaryota; Metazoa; Chordata; Aves; Psittaciformes; Psittacidae
Exons: 3
Source: RefSeq, a predicted model, not a curated record
GCUCUCCUCACAGCAGAAAUCCUCCUUAUGCCAUCUGCCUACAGAUAGAAAUCUUAAAAGAUUUUAGUAAGAGAAAUCGUGUAAGUUUUGCUGAUGUUUGCCGCUUAAGAGACAAUAUGGUCAUUUCUUCUCUGUGUCAUCAGUAUAAAAUGGCAUUGCCAGGACACUUUGCUUAGCUCUGUGGGAUUCCCUCUUCCUCACUUCCUCCCCAAAUGUGAAACAACUCCAGGACUUAACAUUUUUUUAUGACUGCUUCUUUAAACACAGCAAAACACUUGCUUAGUGAGUUCUUUUUUCCUAGUUUGACUGCAAAAGCCUAUGUCAGAAGUCAAACAUUUUACAGAUCUUCCAAAGUUCAGAGGUUAGUUGAAAUGCUUAUUGGCUCUAGCAGUGUUUGAUACCAAGAGAGGUGCACUGCGUGUGUAUCUUCAGAGGAAAAAGUUCCUGGAGACUCAAGGAACAGAAGAUUGUAGGAAAUCGUCUGAGAGCUGGAAGAAAAAUGAACAUUUCUGGAACAUGAUGGUUUGACUUAGCUGAGGUGAGACCUUUCAGCUGUGCCACAGCCUUCCUACAUAGUUCCUCUUUGUUUCAGUUCUCUAUUUGUAAAACAGGAAUGAUUUGACUCCACUCAUGCCAUAAAAUUAAUAACGUAAUUAGGGUUAGGUAUCUGAAUACCAAAACCAAUCUGGGACAUGAAGCCCUGUACAGAAUCUGAGACAAGAAAUGGAGUUACUAACAUGAGAGUGUCAGUAACAUUCCUGGCAAUGAAAGGGUAAAACUAAGGCUCAUCAGGAAGCAAAAGGAAGGACAAGUACAUCUUGCAUUGGCCUGGAGCAGGCAACUGGUGAAGCAAUAAGAGGAAGUGUUUCCCACCAUACUCUGAGAAGAACCUAGAAAAAGCUAAUAAGAAAGUCAAAGAAUUUCCAAAUCAUUUUUUCCUGGGUCCAUGGUUUGUGUAUACAAUUAAUUGCACUUUCAGUCAGCCUUCAGUCUACAAGCACCUGUUUCUGCUCAAAAGGAGGCGUCAAGGCACCUGAUGUGGCAGACAGCUGAGGCUGCAAGGAAGGAGACACUGAAACGUUCCAGUACUAUUCAUACUCUUAAAAUGCUAAUAAAUCCCAACAGCAGCUUUAAUGCUGCUUUGUUUUAAAUAAGAGAUCACAAGCGUGACAAGACACUAAACUCUGCAACUACAAAAUUUUUAUGCAAGAGCCAACUGCACCUCAUUUUGUCCAAAUGAUUCUCUUAAAGUCCAAGGGAGAAACAGGCAUUUUAUCAUUGCUACAUAUAAAGUGAAUGUUUAGCCUCCGAUCAUUGCUGGAAUAAGUGGAAAGUGUUCUUUCCUGUAGCCAGAGAAGCCAAUGCCAUCUCAUCUGUUCUUAUGCACAGCAACAACUGGAUAACUUGUGCAUCAAGUCCCCAAGCUUGUUUAAAUAAAGUACAUCAUAACCAGCUCAGAGAUAUGGGCUAAAAAGGUGAAGAUGCAGCUACGCAGAUUCUUUGCUUCCAUACAGAAUGAAGUCAAUAGCACAGCUGACUGCUUAUUCAAGAGCAUGUGCACAUCCAGCUCUCUGUCUUGUAUGGCAACCUAUGCAUGGACACUCUCCAAUGAGAUAGUCCUAGACCUCGUUAAAAACAAGGCUUGUUUUUUUAGUGAACCUAGGAAUAAAAACUUUAAACAUGAAUUAUUGGCUUGCUGCUUCUUAUUUCAAAGGUAUGCUGCAGCAAACGUGGGGAAAGGGCUGAGUAAAACUAGGCAGGCAAAUCAAAUCAACUAUAUACACAAAAGGCUGACACUGCAAAUUAAUUACCUGGAUGUUUAGUCAAAAGCCUUACAAGCACUUUGGAGGAAUUUCAGGUGAGUGAACACUGAAGUGCAUGUGUUUUAUGACAGACCUAAUUAUUUAUAUAGCAUUCAGGAUACUUCUUAUGCUGCUUUUGUAGAAGAAACCUUUUAUUUACAUAUAAACAAGCCCCUCUUCAGAGUAUUAAACUAGUUGGGAAAAAAAUUAUACUAAUGUCCUCAAUAGCAGUGACACCAGCGAAGUUGGAUGCCAUCAUGACCUAACAUCAUCAUUUUAUUUCCAGUACAAAACUCCCUUUGUAGAAGGUUUUCUUCAUAUUCUUACCCCAAAGAUGACUGACACAAGAAAGCUUCUACCCCCUGUCUCCAGGAGCACAAUACUCACCCUGUUACACACCAAUAUGAGAAGGCUGCUGCAGCAAGAGACAAAUUGUGAUUUGCCUUAAAAGAGAUACUGUAAGGAUGGACUGCAGUAAAACUUCAUCCUCUACAGGGGAAUAAACAAAAGCAUGACAAAGCAAACAAAAUACAACAAAGAAGUGCAGAUAUUAUCAAUUUAAUCCUUCACCAUGCUGAAUCCUAUGAUUCUGGCUGAGGACACAUUGAAACAGUAGAAAGAUGAUGAUUAUAUUUUGAUUGAUAUUUAAGGAAUCAAUAGAUAGUUAAUCCAAACUUUACCAAGCAGUUUUCAACCAAACGGCAUUAAGUACACUUCUCAGAGUCUCAUCAUAUAUACAGAAGCCUAUACAGGUCUGAUCCUACCAAGAAAAAUGCCCUUCAUGCUUUGUAGGCAUCUCCCUUCAGCUCAACUUGUCAGGCAU